UAACUUCGGGAAACCGGAGCUAAUACCGGAUAAUAUUUUGAACCGCAUGGUUCAAAAGUGAAAGACGGUCUUGCUGUCACUUAUAGAUGGAUCCGCGCUGCAUUAGCUAGUUGGUAAGGUAACGGCUUACCAAGGCAACGAUGCAUAGCCGACCUGAGAGGGUGAUCGGCCACACUGGAACUGAGACACGGUCCAGACUCCUACGGGAGGCAGCAGUAGGGAAUCUUCCGCAAUGGGCGAAAGCCUGACGGAGCAACGCCGCGUGAGUGAUGAAGGUCUUCGGAUCGUAAAACUCUGUUAUUAGGGAAGAACAUAUGUGUA
RNAcentral lists this ribosomal RNA (321 nucleotides) under Staphylococcus aureus. RNAcentral describes it as "bacterial SSU rRNA". It matches the Rfam family "Bacterial small subunit ribosomal RNA", at positions 144 to 459 of the family's 1533-position model. Lineage: Bacteria; Bacillati; Bacillota; Bacilli; Caryophanales; Staphylococcaceae. The record is from RNAcentral.